RNAcentral lists this long non-coding RNA (211 nucleotides) under Capsella rubella. Its description in RNAcentral is "long non-coding RNA (CRUB_LNC004843)". The record is from RNAcentral. Lineage: Eukaryota; Viridiplantae; Streptophyta; Magnoliopsida; Brassicales; Brassicaceae.
GAUAUACCCACUUUACCCUGUCUUUUUCUUGUUUCUUUUUUUUUUUUUUUUUUUUUGUAUCCCAUAAUUUAAUUUGCACUACUUAAAUAAUUUACUAGCUAUUAGGUCGUAUCUUAAUCAAAUACUCCAUAAAGACUUAUAAAAUCGUGUUACUAAUAAAGCUCUUUCGUAAUUAAAUAAUUUAUUUUCUGUUUAGAAAGAAGAACAUGUC